This 4199-nucleotide long non-coding RNA is filed under the name Equus caballus (horse). RNAcentral describes it as "lncRNA (ENSECAG00000056943.1)". The record is from RNAcentral. Lineage: Eukaryota; Metazoa; Chordata; Mammalia; Perissodactyla; Equidae.
AAUUCCCCAAGAAUUUGCCAACUGACCCUUUGGUUAAUAACCUCACCUUUUUGGGGAGCUCAGGUUUUCCCUAGAUAUGUACCAUACUCCUCUUCCUACAAUUUAGGAGAAGGAUCCCUAAGUUGAGACAGGGACAAAAUGAAGUUCUCAUAUUGCUGUCAUGAUAACGGGUACGAAUGAAGUGACCAAAGACAUACUCUGCGUGAGCAAAAGGAUUCGGCUCUGCCCGCCUGAGAGCUCAGCUAAUGGGAUUGGUGAACUAGAAGGACUUCUUGAGAGGAGAAGGAAGGAAGCAGGUUCGGGUUGAUCUCCAGCCUGAAGGAGGAGCACAGGAAAGCACAGAAGUGUGAAGGUCUGGAGGCUGGAGGUCCAAGAUCAGGGUGCCAGCAUGGUCCGGUUCUGGUUUCAGAACAUACAAGGGCUAGAAGAACAAGAUAAAUGAUACUACAGGGGAAAAACAUCAGACAGUUUCAGAAUUGUGAUACAUUCUACAGGACAACUGGCCAGGAUCCUCCUACUGAUAAUUAUCCAACAAUAAUGAGUCUUCCAAUUAGUCUAACGCUUCCCACAUCUGCUAUAUGGCCAUUGGCCAUCGCCGCAGCCUCAGUCAGGCAGGCCUCAGGCCCAUUUUGUGGAUGGAGAACUGGUGCUCUGCCCAGAGAAGAGAGCCAGCUGCCUUGCCUCAGCCACACAGCUUAUAAGUACUCAGGGAAGAACACAGCAUUCUUUCCCCAACACCUGUGUUUCUCAAUUCCCCUUCACCUCCAGCCCACCUCGUCCCAACUCUGAUGCCUCCAAUGCGGAAAUCAUUUUGAUUUCGUUUUUGUAACUGCAGUUAGGAGAACAGCUGAAACAGAACACACGCAGAAAAAUUGAAACCCACCCCACAUCUCGGUUCUGAUUUACCUAUUUGUAGAUUUGAGUCAUUGGCUACCAUCUGCUGAACCAGCUACCUGACUGUAUCCUCGGGGCGCCGUGGCUGACUCAAUUUGCUCCCUUUGCCUGGUGAAGGAGGACACACUCAAAGGCAAACCUGCUCACUCCGCAGUUUGCUCUUGAUUAUUCACUAAGACUUUCAAGACUUCUGUCUUAAGUGUCAAUAGAAGAACCCAAGUCUGAAUGUGGCCCUUUGUGCCCAACAUCUAGCCCAAUACCAGACACAGCCAAAUUCUUAGGUAGCUUUUCUUCUGAGGAUGUCUUUCCAGCACUUUUUGUCUUCAAAUAUUGACCCAACUUGAAGGGACACCCACAAAGCUGGGACAGCUUAAGCAUCAAAAUGAAUAACUGAUUGUAAAGGAUUGAAGCUCAUUGAAUAUCUAAAAAUCCAUGAGUCCACAAUGAUACUCAAAAAGAGAAAGCAAGCAAACAAGCAAGUAGAUUCUCACUUGUUAUAAUUGGAGUCUGCCAUUACACCAACUCCUUAUUCUGAAAAUAGGUAAAUAACUCUAUUUUAGGCAUUAAGCUCCAGUUGGUGAGGUAUGGUCUUCUUUAUGGAUGAAUACUGAGUAGUAAAUGUAGAAGAAAUGGUAAAAUUAGAAAAUCACCACUUGGCAAUCCCUAAAGAAAUAGUAGAUUCAAGCAAGAAUCAUUUAUGGACAAUAGGGGAAAUGUUGAUAGGGAAUUACAUUCACCUGGUGUCAAAGUACUAGCUCUCCCACACCAGAUUUCUCAGUAGUCACAAGAGGAAAACGUGGGGCAUCAGGUUAUGUGACAUAGACCCAAGAUCAGUCCUAGCACUACAAAAAUAGGACAGCCAGACAUUGUAUAUCUCUUGACAAGAUGCAAUAUAAAGUACCCAACAUGACCUAUAAAAUAUUCUCUUCAAAAAUAUUUCACCCAAAUCUAGUCAAGUCUUUAGAUACUACUUCCAAGUUACAGGAAAUAUAGGAGGUAGAAAAACAAGAUAAAUGACAUCACAAAAGGAGAAAAAAUCAAAUUACUCGAGAAUUGUGAUACAUUCUACAGGACAACUGGUCUUUUAUCCUCCGUAAAUCAGUGCCAUGAAAAUGAAGAGGAAACAAAGAGAUGGAUCCUAGCAUAGAUAAUCUACAAGAAUUAGAAUUAUGGGAUUCUCUCAAUUUCAGGAAGCUCACUUUCUUUCUAGAACAGUGCUCAGUGCAAGAACCAGGCUAUACUGAGCACUCAAUACGUAUGUGUUGAAUGAAAGAAUGAAUAGCAAGUGACUGAAUUCUAUAGAGGAGAUCAAACAGGCUCAGAGAGGUGGGUGCUGUGCCCAAUGUCAGGCAGCUGGUCAGUGGCAGAGCCAGGGCUAAAACUUCAUCUAUUAGCACUAACCUAGUGCUUGUUCCAUAAUUCUCUGUUUUUGCUUUUUCGUGUAUAAUUUAGUUCUAGAUUUAAAAAGACUAAGGAGACAUAACAGCCUUAUGUGCCCUACGAGACAAAUGUAAUGUGUGGUUUCUGGUUGGAUCCUGGUUUGAAUAAGCCAGCUGUAAAAGAUAUUCUGAGAACAACUGAGAAACUGAACACACACUGGUCCUAGAUGACGUUGAGGCAUCUCUGACAAUUCUGUCAGGAGCCCAAUAAAACGAGCCCCCAGGAGUAGGCCCAUUAGCAGCAUGCUUUGCAAAGCUUCUCCAGUUUGCUAAGAAGCACUUCAGCGUCCCGAGUUCAUCUCUUUCGUGUCACAAGAGAGCAUCUGCUCUUGCAGGAAUGUCACGAGUGCAGAACAAAGGAACUUGAGAUGGGUGGUAAAGUUCAGUGUUGACAACAUGGACUUCAGAAUCAAACUAGACCUGGGGGAACAUUUUCCUUGACUCAGUUUCCUCUUCAGAAACACCAAGCAAACACCAAGCACCUAUUUCAUACAGUCGUUGUUGGAAUUAAAUGAGAUAAUAAAUAAGAUAAUGCCCGAAAUAGUUAAGUGCCCCAAAAGUCAUCAGUUACUAUAGUUAUGGCUAGGCAAACAAGUAUGUUAUGUGCUUGGAUUGCUUGUAAUUGUUUUCAUUUUGGAGAGACCAGAUCAUUGUAAUUCCCUUUCACAAGCCAUUUAGAUAUUGAAGUUCCAACAGAAGUUCUGGACAAAGAUUAUAAUGAAAGCAGAAAAUUUCCCAAAAUAAAUCUUCUGUUUUUUUUUUUAAUCUUAAUGGGACCUCAAGCCAAGUUCAACCCUAGUAGGCACCUUGGCAGAGCUGCUACUCUGCUCUCCCCAUAGUGUGUCAUACUGGAUGUGCUUGUCAAUGUGGUAUUCCUUUUCUGCUUUAAUCAGCCAAUAUGGGCCCUGAGAACAAUGAAGCAAUCACCUUCUUCCCCAACAGGUAUGCUAAUUGCAUCAUUUCAGUAACGCACUUAUCCUUCACCAGCAUAAGUCCUGCGAAUUUGCCCACCGUCCCUUCUACAGCCAGCUCUCACCUCUGAUGGGUGUGUGUGUGGAAGUUUAGAGCAUAAUGGCCCCAGAAUGUUAGAGGGAUACAAACUAGGGGAGGAUGCUAUGAGUUUGAAGCUUUUGGCGGUGGAACAGGAAAGCACAGCCCUCUAAUUCGAGCACAUUGACAGUGUGGCAGCAUGGUGAACCACCUUAGAAACCCAAAACAGAAGAAACAACGCAACUGCGGCUCACAGAGUUUAACCCCAAGCUCUAACUCUGGCGUAUAGUUACCAUGUCACUAAGAGCUCGAAUUCAUCUUUAUUAAUCUACAAAUUCAUGCACAAUGGAUUUUUUCUUGCCGUCUUCCAAAAUACUGAUCUCCUAUCAACUACAGUUGAAGUCGCUUUUCUGCUUGAGGGUAUUGCUGUUUCUCUGAUUUUGAAAACUGAAGAGACACGAAGGGGAGAAGCAUAAGUGACACUUUCCCGGGAAAAUUUGCAAAAAUGCUUCCCAACCCUAGCAGUCCCCAAACCACCACAUGAGCAGCUACUUGCGUGGCCCUGCAGUAGUGGCCUAUUGUUAAUCCCUAAGGUUAACAAACUCCUGAGAGUGACUGUGAAUUGUGGAUUAUUAGGAUGAGUAAUCUUCUCAAAUGAUUUCUUUUAGGAGAUUUGGCUUCAUAGAAGGCCUAAGGCUUAUUCUAAAAGUAACUCAUCGUUAAAAGGAAAAAGGAAAACAAUUGUAAAAAAGGAAACAAUUGUAAAAGACUGAUAAGCAACAGUAUGAUAUCAAUAUGAUCUCAAGUUAAUUAUAUAUAAGGAUAUACCACAAAAGGCUUAUGGCUGUUAAUAUUUCCCAGGUAGUGAGAUAAGAG